Molecule: ribosomal RNA, 468 nt
Filed under: uncultured bacterium
Lineage: Bacteria
Description: partial 16S ribosomal RNA
Rfam family: Bacterial small subunit ribosomal RNA
Source: RNAcentral
GACGAACGCUGGCGGCGUGCUUAACACAUGCAAGUCGAACGGAAAGGCCCUGCUUUUGUGGGGUGCUCGAGUGGCGAACGGGUGAGUAACACGUGAGUAACCUGCCCUUGACUUUGGGAUAACUUCAGGAAACUGGGGCUAAUACCGGAUAGGAGCUCCUGCUGCAUGGUGGGGGUUGGAAAGUUUCGGCGGUUGGGGAUGUACUCGCGGCUUAUCAGCUUGUUGGUUGGGUAGUGGCUUACCAAGGCCUUGACGGGUAGCCGGCCUGAGAGGGUCACCGGCCACAUUGGGACUGAGAUACGGCGCAGACGCCAACGGGAGGCAGCGGGGGAGAAUAUUACACAAUGGGAGGAAGGAUGAUGCAGCAAAGCCGCGUGCGGGAAGACGGCCUGGGGGUUGUGAACCGCAUUCGCCUGAGACGAAGCGUGAGUGACGGUAAUGGGUAAAGAAGCACCGGCUAACUACGUG